RNAcentral lists this transfer RNA (67 nucleotides) under Marmota monax (woodchuck). Its description in RNAcentral is "tRNA.Ala". The record is from RNAcentral. Lineage: Eukaryota; Metazoa; Chordata; Mammalia; Rodentia; Sciuridae.
GGUUGUGGAUCAGUGGUAGAGUGCUCGCCUAGCAUGCAUGAGUCCCUGGGUUCAAUCCUCAGCACCA